AUGUCCCUUUGAGAUAGUCAAUUAAAUUUAAAUGAUGUAAAGAAAUUAGCAUGGACCUUGCGCAAUGAUGACAUACACAAAUUGAGAAUUGAUUCAAAUUUUU
Solanum lycopersicum (tomato) is the source of this 103-nucleotide non-coding RNA. NCBI's taxonomy places the organism in Eukaryota, Viridiplantae, Streptophyta, Magnoliopsida, Solanales, Solanaceae. The record is from Rfam.